GAUGAACGCUGGCGGCGUGCCUAAUACACGCAAGUCGAGCGAACGGACGAGAAGCUUGCUUCUCUGAUGUUAGCGGCGGACGGGUGAGUAACACGUGGAUAACCUACCUAUAAGACUGGGAUAACUUCGGGAAACCGGAGCUAAUACCGGAUAAUAUUUUGAACCGCAUGGUUCAAAAGUGAAAGACGGUCUUGCUGUCACUUAUAGAUGGAUCCGCGCUGCAUUAGCUAGUUGGUAAGGUAACGGCUUGCCAAGGCAACGAUGCAUAGCCGACCUGAGAGGGUGAUCGGCCACACUGGAACUGAGACACGGUCCAGACUCCUACGGGAGGCAGCAGUAGGGAAUCUUCCGCAAUGGGCGAAAGCCUGACGGAGCAACGCCGCGUGAGUGAUGAAGGUCUUCGGAUCGUAAAACUCUGUUAUUAGGGAAGAACAUAUGUGUAAGUAACUGUGCACAUCUUGACGGUACCUAAUCAGAAAGCCACGGCUAACUACGUG
Molecule: ribosomal RNA, 497 nt
Filed under: uncultured bacterium
Lineage: Bacteria
Description: partial 16S ribosomal RNA
Rfam family: Bacterial small subunit ribosomal RNA
Source: RNAcentral